UUGAUUGAAUGAAACGAGAUUAAUAUGGAUGCUAGAACCCUAAAACAUUAAAAGAUACCUUAGGCACGUAGAAUUAGACUUUGUCUUAUGACAAUUUCUUCACGAACUUAUCGACUCUUCAUCAAUGAAGGUCCGGGCGACAGAAAGUGAAGCAGAAGAAGAAACGACUCCACGCCAACUUUAAGAACAAUUGAGGUGGGCAUUAUUUUAUUAUUACGUAUAUAGAGAUCCCCUGCGUGACGUAGGCCUCAUAUGCGAAUAUAUAUGCAUGAUAUGUUUUGACUAUUUAUUCAGUUCUUAUAAAAUGCUUAUAUGUUCAAUGCCCUUUAUGAAAAUAAAAAUGUUAUGAAAAUGAAAUGUUUAUGAAAUGAUUGACUGCCAAAAUGUUUAUGUUUUUAUAUGUAUCCUAUCUGUGUUGGUUCGCCAACUUUAAAGGAAAUCCAAUUGGGAUCCUAUGCUAGACAAAGGUCGCUAGCUAGGGUUAACGUGUACACUCAUGGAGACCGCGAGUCGCUUGCGACCGGUCUUGGCGUCCGUGGUAAGGAGGCCUCCUUCCCGGCGCGUGACAGAAAGGACAGAUAUGGAUCAUAUAGACUGAAAAUGGGAUGCAUCCACCUUUAUGAAAAUGAAUGAAAUGUUUUAGUAAGCGCAGGUCAUUUAUGAAAACCCCUGUGUGUUACUGUUAUGGCAGUUCAAUUUAUAUAUGUAUGCAUGUUGUAUUUUCGGCUUAUGUCACUGAGUAUUUUUAUACUCAGCCCUGCAUGUAUUUCUAAAUGUGCAGGUUGAGCAGGCGAUGGAAUGGAUCGGUGUUGAGCGGAUUUCCCUUUUGAUGUUAUGUAAUGAAACCUUGAGUAUGCAUCUCCAUAUGCAUAACUCACACGUUUUUCCGCUGCAAACACUCUGAAUUUGUUAUCGUAUUGUGGAACUUAUUACUCCUUCAUUUUGUUUAACUUUCAUUUGGGGUUUAGUCGUUAUGGCUGGCUCGUUUGUUAAUUACCCAAGUGGUGAUAUAUAUAUAUAUACCACUAGUUUGUUGUUAUUAAUGUUGGUUAUUUAGUAAAUCCCUUUUAAUUUCCAUUUCUUAUUGUUCACCCAAGUCAUAACCCCGGUUAACCCGUCAUUGGGAUAGUGGGCUGUGACAGAGUGGUAUCAGAGCAGUUCGUUUGCUCUGGCCCUAGAAACCAUUUUCUAAAAAG
Molecule: long non-coding RNA, 1196 nt
Filed under: Salvia miltiorrhiza (redroot sage)
Lineage: Eukaryota; Viridiplantae; Streptophyta; Magnoliopsida; Lamiales; Lamiaceae
Description: long non-coding RNA (SMIL_LNC011695)
Source: RNAcentral